UAGGGAAUCUUCGGCAAUGGACGAAAGUCUGACCGAGCAACGCCGCGUGAGUGAAGAAGGUUUUCGGAUCGUAAAACUCUGUUGUUAGAGAAGAACAAGGACGUUAGUAACUGAACGUCCCCUGACGGUAUCUAACCAGAAAGCCACGGCUAACUACGUGCCAGCAGCCGCGGUAAUACGUAGGUGGCAAGCGUUGUCCGGAUUUAUUGGGCGUAAAGCGAGCGCAGGCGGUUUCUUAAGUCUGAUGUGAGAGACCCCGGCUCAACCGGGGAGGGUAAUUGGAAACUGGGAGACUUGAGUGCAGAAGAGGAGAGCGGAAUUCCAUGUGUAGCGGUGAAAUGCGUAGAUAUAUGGAGGAACACCAGUGGCGAAGGCGGCUCUCUGGUCUGUAACUGACGCUGAGGCUCGAAAGCGUGGGGAGCAAACACG
RNAcentral lists this ribosomal RNA (429 nucleotides) under Gemmatimonadota bacterium. RNAcentral describes it as "Gemmatimonadetes bacterium partial 16S ribosomal RNA". It matches the Rfam family "Bacterial small subunit ribosomal RNA", at positions 355 to 776 of the family's 1533-position model. Lineage: Bacteria; Pseudomonadati; Gemmatimonadota. The record is from RNAcentral.